AGCAGCCGCGGUAAUUCCAGCUCCAAUAGCGUAUAUUAAAGUUGUUGCAGUUAAAAAGACUCGUAGUUGAAUUUCGGGAUCAAUACGUCGGUCGUGCCUCUGGUAUGUACUGGUGUUAUUGAUUUCUCCCUUCUGAUGAACCAUGAUGUCAUUAAUUUGGUGUCGUGGGAGUCAGGACUGUUACUUUGAAAAAUUAGAGUGUUUAAAGCAGGCUCACGCUUGAAUACAUUAGCAUGGAAUAAUGAAAUAGGACGUUCGAUCCUAUUUUGUUGGUUUCUAGGAUCAACGUAAUGAUUAAUAGGGAUAGUUGGGGGCAUUAGUAUUCAAUUGUCAGAGGUGAAAUUCUUGGAUUUAUUGAAGACUAACUACUGCGAAAGCAUUCGCCAAGGAUGUUUCAUUAAUCAAGAACGAAAGUUAGGGGAUCGAAGACGAUCAGAUACCAUCGUAGUCUUAACCAUAAACUAUGCCGACU
RNAcentral lists this ribosomal RNA (472 nucleotides) under uncultured Glomus. RNAcentral's name for it is "SSU rRNA". It matches the Rfam family "Eukaryotic small subunit ribosomal RNA", at positions 569 to 1047 of the family's 1831-position model. Lineage: Eukaryota; Fungi; Glomeromycota; Glomeromycetes; Glomerales; Glomeraceae. The record is from RNAcentral.